This is a long non-coding RNA of Oncorhynchus tshawytscha (Chinook salmon), 1979 nucleotides long. Lineage: Eukaryota; Metazoa; Chordata; Actinopteri; Salmoniformes; Salmonidae. The record is from Ensembl.
CAAGUUCCUGGCAUAGACAUAGUAUGUGUCUCUAUGUCUAUAGCUCCAUAGUGAGGUUAUGCUGGGUUCAUAGAAGACUGGAGCUGAAGAGAGGGUCAGCUGUGUGUGACCUCACCACAGGUUUGAUUAUUGUAUUUUGCCAUGUCAAACAAGAUGGGGCAUAUGCUGCGUUCAAAACACCUGGGAACUCGGGAAAUCUCCAACAGUCCAAGUCGGAUGACCGUUCAAAACGAUUUUUCCCAGUCAGAGCUCGUUUUUUUCCCGAGUUCCCAGUUGUCUUGAAACCACUGAAGUCCGAAGUGGAGUUAUGAGUUCCCAGUUCUUUUCAACGUGGAAAAAAACUUUCUGCUUUAUUUCGCAUUUUAUUUUCCACUUAUCCACAUUGUUUGUUUUGUAUAACGGUGGAGUUGUGUGUUUCUUUACAACUUUUGAAAUCGACUCCAAACGGCGUGGGGUAGGGUACCAUUUAAAUUAUGCUGCCAUCCUACACCUUUUGUAUUAUUUAGGUCAUGUGUCUUUAUUCUUUGGCGCAGAUUAUGAUGAUGUCUGAGCGUUCAAGCAUUUUAGUCUGGAGUAGGACAUGUUUAUGGACUUCUAGGGCAUUGUGAUAAGUAUUAUAUUUAUUUAAUACAAAUGUCGUUCGAACAGAGGAAAAAAUAAACAGACUGGCUAAACAUACAAUUAUUCUUUUGGUUUGUGAAACCCCUGUGUAAGGACACAAAAGGGGGGACGUUCACCGCGGAAAGUAAAUUCUUUUGAAGUGGAACUAAUCAUCUGAGGGAUGGUUCUCGUUGUCCUAACAACGCAGCUGAAUUGGAAUGAGCCUCCUUUUUGUUGAAGAUAUGUUUUCUUUCUUUCAUUCAAAACUGAUGAUGAUAGUAGUUUCACGCCCUGUCCACCCACAUUGUCAGUCCAAACUUUUUUUUGCAGAUAAGUCUUUACUUGGAGACGCCGAACACACGGCGGGUGACUCUUGGACUGUGACGUAAGCCUCGCCCUUCUGUCUCCAAGUCUACGCUUUAUAAUACCGUUCUAAUGAAAAGGGAAUCUCACACCAAAUCCUCCUCAAUAACACUUAUUUGAAAGACUGUGAAAAGAUCAACACUCUUAGGCUACUCUUAAAUAUAUUUUCAUCUCCUUGAUGAUUAUGCACUGAUAACUUUCCCAUUUUUCUAUCAUCGAUUUUGGAGUCUAAGUCCAAUCAUAUUAUGCCUAUUUUGUUUAUUUUGUUACCUAUCUGUGUUCAUUGUAACUCAACGGCUUUUCUGUUCCCCAGUUCGCCAGAACAGUUAUGCACAGCAUCCAAUAGACUAGGCCUUCACGAAUUUGACUUUAUUGUUUGGCAAUUUGAAUAGCAGCUGCUUUAAAAUUACAGACAGAUAUGACAGACAGAAAGAUGAAAGGAUGUAUAGGCGUAUGGCUAGACCAACACAUAGGCAUGAUAUAUAUGAAGCCCUAUUUGUUUAGCCUAAAGUUGGUUAACCCAAUAAACUAUUAUAUAAUAGAAAACAAUUGUCAAGUGGAAUUGAUGAUUGAUAGGCCUAUUGAUUGAUGACAAUGACAAGUCUUUGGUAUUAUAAUGAGUUGUAACUGUUGGUUCUACGUCGAUGGUCUCCACAUACAGCCUCCGGGGCUUGUAAAAGGUAACUUUGGCCCUCUGACCUCGCUCUAGGAAUUCCAUCCUCUCCCCGUUACUAAAUCUUUCUCCUUCACAGGCUCUACCUUUGCUUCACAACGUUAUAAACUGUUUGCCUUUUAUGCAAGGCCUAGUAACCGAGGCAUUUUAUUGUCACCACGUGGGACCAGGGUUCAAGCAACAGCCGUCCGACAAGAGAGGUGAAGGGGCUAGAGGAAGGAUAACUCUUACUGACUUGAUGAAACUUUCAACAGUUUAGGCCUACUUUUCUGUUUAGCCUAAUAUUGUGACGAACGAAAAAUGUAGCCUGUUGCGGUGUGUUUUCAGAAUAAUUGUCUCAUGA